Molecule: unclassified non-coding RNA, 194 nt
Filed under: plant metagenome
Description: partial contains small subunit ribosomal RNA and internal transcribed spacer 1
Rfam family: Eukaryotic small subunit ribosomal RNA (bases 1-46)
Source: RNAcentral
AAGUCGUAACAAGGUUUCCGUAGGUGAACCUGCGGAAGGAUCAUUAAUGAAAUGUAAGGGAUGCUCUUUUUAGAGGUCCGACCAAAACAUUUUCCUUUCUACACUGUGCACACACUACACUUUUUACACCUUUUUAAACUCUUCAGUUUUAAGAAUGUAUAACAGUCUCUUUAUUGAGCAUAAAUAAAAUAAAA